UACGUAGGGGGCAAGCGUUGUCCGGAUUUAUUGGGCGUAAAGAGCUCGUAGGCGGUUUGGUAAGUCUGGUGUGAAAUCUCCACGCUCAACGUGGAGGGGCCACCCGAUACUGCCAUGACUGGAGUCCGGUAGGGGAGUGUGGAAUUCCCAGUGUAGCGGUGAAAUGCGUAGAUAUUGGGAGGAACAUCAGUGGCGAAGGCGGCUCACUGGACCGGUACUGACGCUGAGGCGCGAAAGCGUGGGGAGCAAACAGG
RNAcentral lists this ribosomal RNA (254 nucleotides) under uncultured bacterium. Its description in RNAcentral is "partial 16S ribosomal RNA". It matches the Rfam family "Bacterial small subunit ribosomal RNA", at positions 524 to 776 of the family's 1533-position model. The record is from RNAcentral.